Molecule: ribosomal RNA, 497 nt
Filed under: uncultured bacterium
Lineage: Bacteria
Description: partial 16S ribosomal RNA
Rfam family: Bacterial small subunit ribosomal RNA
Source: RNAcentral
GAUGAACGCUGGCGGCGUGCCUAAUACAUGCAAGUCGAGCGAACGGACGAGAAGCUUGCUUCUCUGAUGUUAGCGGCGGACGGGUGAGUAACACGUGGAUAACCUACCUAUAAGACUGGGAUAACUUCGGGAAACCGGAGCUAAUACCGGAUGAUAUUUUGAAACGCAUGGUUCAAAAGUGAAAGACGGUCUUGCUGUCACUUAUAGAUGGAUCCGCGCUGCAUUAGCUAGUUGGUAAGGUAACGGCUUACCAAGGCAACGAUGCAUAGCCGACCUGAGAGGGUGAUCGGCCACACUGGAACUGAGACACGGUCCAGACUCCUACGGGAGGCAGCAGUAGGGAAUCUUCCGCAAUGGGCGAAAGCCUGACGGAGCAACGCCGCGUGAGUGAUGAAGGUCUUCGGAUCGUAAAACUCUGUUAUUAGGGAAGAACAUAUGUGUAAGUAACUGUUCACAUCUUGACGUUACCUAAUCAGAAAGCCACGGCUAACUACGUG